Non-coding RNA from Taeniopygia guttata (zebra finch), 16594 nucleotides. The record is from RefSeq and is a predicted model, not a curated record. Lineage: Eukaryota; Metazoa; Chordata; Aves; Passeriformes; Estrildidae.
AUGCCUUGUGAACAAAGGAAUAACCUUAAAAGCAAUAGCCUGUUGCACAUUCAUAUAUUUCAUACAUGGUUCAUAAAUUCCUUGCAAAUUAAGAACUUUUGUGGUUUUUGUCAACAACUUCUCCUUAAUCCUGUUGGUUCCACAAAGACAGAGAGAAGGUGGAAGAAUGUUUGUCUUUUCUGAUGAGGCAGUAACUCUUCAUGGGCCCGUUUCGCUGACAUCUCUGUAUGAAGAGUUUCUUGAUUAUCUCAUCUUCCUGCUUGAGCUUGUAUCAAAUCCUAUAUUGCAGAGUUUCUAUUUUAACAUUAGGUUGUAAUCUAAAACUACAUUUAACACACUCCAGAAGAGAACUGAUACAGCAUAACUUUCUAACAGUACACAUAUAAUAUUCAUUGUAACAUUUGCAAAAAUCCAAUCAUAAAAUAGGCAUUUUUCACAGCGGCCUUAGAGACACUUGGCUAGUGUGGACUGGAAAUUAGGAUCUCAGCACAGAGGAGAGAUGUGAUGGGGAGAUUUUAGGGGCACAUCCAUGAACCAGGAGGCUGAAGUGUAUUGCAUCCAUUGGGUCUGCCAGAAUUUCACUGGAAUGAAUAAACGGUGAUUUUUUACAGUGAAGGGGCUUGAUGAAGUCCAUGGGAAUCUACAGUGUUCAGUUUCUAAAAGGGACAAAAUAAUGUCACAUAUUUCUGUUGAGACAGGAUUGUUCCAAGCAGGCAGAAUGAAAACUGACUGGUAAAGUGCAGAAAGCUGAAGGAUUAAGUGCCAGAAUCAAAUUCACUUGGAGAAUUUCAUAAUAGAUGGAAAUCUCUCCUUGAUGAGGGCAUGCAUGGCUAUUAUUGCUCAGAAGUGUUUUUUUGGAAACAUCAGAUGGAGUUCUCAGCAGCAUUAGUUCCAUGCUUGACAGCUGUCAGAAAAAGCAAAUUGAAUAUUUAGCAAUUUUGAGAGGCAUCCAACACAGAAAAUACAGCCCUGUUUCUGCUGGAAUUGGUUUCACAUGUGCUGCUGUACACAAAUUUUGGUUCCCCUGUGUCUCACAGAGGUGUGGUCCAGAGGAAGGUGGAAGGAAUGACAGAGGGGAGGAGGAGCUGCAGUGCAGGGGAGACAGGGAAUUCAUGGUACAGACUUUCCCUUGGGAAAGGAGUGACAGAUGAGUGAAAUGGAGAAAAGGAUAGAUUGGAAUUAUUAUUGAUAUUGAUUUGAAUAUUGAUGUUCUAGUGAUAUUACUCAUAAGGCAGGGAUUAUGAGCUCAAUGACUCAUGAAAAGCAUGGCUCUUUUUGUGCUGUUCAACAGCUUUUCCACUGGAUAGUUCAGAUGCAAAAAAUAAAUGCAAGUUAAGAAUAAUUGUCUAAAUUACUGUAUGGUAUUUCUUACACAACAAAAUGCAGGUUAUCCCUCUUUGCAGAUUACUGUGGGCAACACUGGUGCUUGUAUUCUUUCAUAAACACCUAAAGGGGAUUGUUGUUGGACAGGGGAUUUUAACUGACACAAUCCAGUUAAACCAGCUCCUCUGAUGUAUGGCAUUAGAAUUGUAUUUAUGGACCUGGUGUGUGGCUCUUGGUUAUGGUUUUUUUAUGUACAGAAAUUGUGUAUCUAUAAAUACACAAUGGGAAAUUUAAAGACAGGUAUCAGCAUUUAUGUUAUUCAGUGGCAUUAAAAAUGUAUUUGUUGAAUUAUGAUGAAAGAAUACUAUUUAAAUCUUUUAAAGUAGCAGUAGUUUUCUUGAAAGCUAUUUUCUAUUGAAUGGAUUCCUAUCACAUUAUUUUAGAUUCCAAAAUGUUUUAUUGAUCUGUUUAGGGAGAAAAUCAGCGCCUUGGCUUUCAGGUAAACCUCAUCUCAGGAUCCUGUGAUGUGGGAUGCAGUUUCAGUUUCACUCUGCUUUGAUCCUUAGCUACCCAAUCCUCCUUUUUAUUAAUGGUAGAAGAAAAUUUGUAUUUUAUAGUCAGCAAUACCAAUGAUGCUGUAAGCCAGCUGCUUUCCCAGGCAGUGCUGGUGGGAAGGGAAAUGCUUUCAAACCAAGUGUGUUCCUUGUUGCUGGCAGUGCUCCUAGGAGCAAACCUGGUACGUUUUGUAGCUCCCCUUCUGUGUUCCUGCAGCCUCUGGGGAUGGGUUCAUGACUUCAAUUAUAGGUCCAAGACUGAAAAAAACCAGUAAAAUACAUUAUAGUCAGACAACCCUUCCAGUUAUUUGAAUGUGUGAUUUUAAUUAUCUUAUAAUUUAAGUGUUUUCUCAGCCAAAGAUCAAGGAGUGUCAGUUUGGUGUCUGUGUGGGGAUGGGCUUUUCUUUUUAAUCUCCAGCCUUAAUCAACCUUUUGUGUCUUCUGCUGCCCAGAGUAGUUGUGACCUGGAGUGGCCUGACACUGUUUUGUGGAUAUAAUUAAUAUAAUUAUAGGAUCAAUAAUAAAUAUCAUUAAUAUAAGAAUAUGGUACAGGCCACAGUAUUUAUUUGCUGCUUUUUUACCAGCAUUCCUAAGUUUAGCUGAACACAGAGAAUAAUGAAUUAUUUAAUUAAUUUUUGGAGUAAAUUUGGGUGUUUACAUAAUGGAGAAAAACUGGAGGGAAAACCCAUUUACAUAAGAAUUCAGGAGCAAAUGAAAGAAAGCUAACUGCAUCCUCAUUAUUCUAUUUGAAUGCAGCGUGCCAGCCAACUCUGCCAUUUGGUGGAAGGCCUUAUUAAUGACUCCUAAAUGAGCAGACUUGGGAUGGUGAUAUUAUCUGUGAUGCAUUAUUGAAUCAACAGAAAUAAACCUGCUGUCAUUAGCCUAAUUAUUUAGAUAUGCUGGAAGAUAAUGACUAUUUUAAGUGCAAAUAAGCUGCAGUUAGCAAGCAACUAACCAAAUAAAUAAGUGAGGUGGGAUAGCAAGGGAGUGACUCGGGGGAGCAGGGAGGGAAAGGGGAGAAAUGCAAGGAAUUGCUGGAGAAAAACGCUCAGGAUGCCAUUUCUCACUGUUCCAAGGAGGGCAAAGCACUGCUCCCCGAGAUGGAGGGAUGGGGGGAUGGAGGGAUGGGGGGAUUGAUAGAAAGGCAGAGGUGAUAUUGGAUGGAUGAAUAGAUAGAAAGAAAGGCAGAGGUGAUAUUGGAUAGAUGGAUAGAUAAAUGGAUGUGAUAUUUUAAUUGGAUUUAAGGUUCUUUCAAUUUUAACUCUCCUGCUUUGCCAGAACAUCUGUCUGAAGUGAACUCUGAGCCUGUGCUAGAUCAGCUCUGCCCCUGGCCAUGGGUGCAUCUGUGAAUGCUGGAAUUACCCACAGAUGGGCUGGCUGGGCUCAGCAGCACCAGCUCACUGGGGUUUGGCUGCUCUGCUGCCCUUCAGUGGAACAAACUGGGACUAGAAAUCAGUGCCCAGAAGGUAAAAUAACUCUUCCUGUUAACAGUUAGGGAAAGGGAAAAAAAAAAAAAAGAGAGAAGGAAACAAAAUUAACUUCCUGAAAAAUACUUGUCAACUGUAGUUGAAUAACUGCUAAUUUGAAUGUCAAGUUUUCUCAUUAAUCCCUUGAUUAAAACAAUUUACUUUUUAUAGCCAAAAUACUUGCAUAAAUAUAGAAAAUAUAAUAAUGUAUAAGUUAUAUUUAAAACCUUUUUUCUGAGGUUAGAUGUGUUGGUAAUUAAGUCUGUCUGUCAGAAGAAAAUAAGGGUUAGAGGCAUGUCCUCAUAGUUGCAUGCAGGAAUCUGUCUUUAUGCAUCAUUUUUCCCUAAUUAGCUCUUAAAAUAAAGAAAAAGCAGUUGUUUUGUGUGCUGUUUUGGGUUGUCGUUGAGAUUUUUUCUCGAUAUCAAUGUGAAACUAGUGAAAAGAGUUCUUUCUGAUUGCAGGAAGCCUGUACUGUAUAACAGAAGAGGAAAUUUUAGAAUUAAAUUUUCUUUAAGUGUCUGUGACUUCACAGUUUGCUAAUAAAUUCCCUUUUUUUAUUUCAUUAUGGAUUGUGGGGCUUUUGUUACCUGCAAGAUUUUAUGUAAUUUCAUCCUGGUUCUCUUUUAAGUGAUUAUAGACUGGAAGAUCCUCUGAGCAAGGGGUAAAGGGGAAUCCUUUGCUCUGAGUGCUCAAAAAGAGACACAAAAAAAAGCCCCAGAAGGCAAACAGAAACAAAGCUUCCUGCAGUUCAGCUGAAGAUUUCUCCUUAGUGGAAUAACUCUCCUGUUAAUUCUCAGUUCAGAAUCAUCUCCUGUGAGUGUUUACCACCCAUUAGAAUUCAUCCUCUAUUAUACUUAGAGCACAAGAUUUAUGUGGUGUGAGUACAUUUACUUUCCCAUGCUUCUUGUUGGGUUAUUACCUAAGGAUUUUUUUAAACUGAGUUUUCUGCUCUUUCUGAAAUUCACUUAGAAAGCCCUAUCAGACAUUUUCAUAUGCAAAAUGUGUUUCAAGCAGAAAAGCACUGUGCUCUCCACCUUGAGCUGCUAACAGGUGCUCACAGACUGCAGGUUUUUUUGUUUUUAAUGAGGGCAAAGGAUCUUUGUUGAGCCAGGACAGAGUUCCUCUUGUAGUGACAUCAGAGAAGGAUUAAAAUGCCAAUAAUAUCAGGACUUUCUCAGGUCUGCUGUUAACAAUACAAUGGUGUUAAACAUGCCGAGAUAGAUGUGGUGAUUUUUAUUCCAUUUCUCAUUUCAGUGGCUUCAUGUUGCUCAUGCUUUGGCAUGAAAGGUAAAUUAAAUGGUAUUUCAGUUAAGAGAGUUGCAUGUGUUUUGAUACCAAAGUAGUUUCCUUUCUGGAAAAGUUUAACCUACAACAAAAUUGUAAUGCUCAAAAUAGACAGAAGAGAAAGCACUGCACAGAGUCCUUAUGAAACCAUUCUGAAGUUGAUUAAUGUUUCAUGGAGUUUAUUUACAAUAUGUAUAAUAGAAUUUUGCAUAAUUCAAAAGCAUGCUAUUUGAUCUUGCAGCAUUUAUUGAACUAAGAGUUUUUAUAAAAUGCAUAAACAAAUAUAUCAAACAAAUGGUAGAAGCACUCCAGGGUAAAGUACAUCAUCUGGCUGAGAACUCUAUCUGAAGUGCUACUCGAGAUUCUCAGUGUGCAAAUGCCCUGUACACAAUGAGCCUUUAAAACACAUUUUCAUAUUUAAAGUGAUUCCUCUAUCCUUUAGUACAAAAAAUAUUUUUUUUUUGGAGUCAUAAUGAUUGGAGCCAGUAAGGCAUAAAUAGGCACCACAUGAAGAUUGAUGCAGGUCCUCAGUAAAUCCUGGUUCUUGGAGGGGGUUAUUCUUGCAGAUCUACAGUUUGAAGAUUCAGUCUUUUGGGAGUCACUCACACUUCCCCUGCAUGGGGGGUGGGGGAUGUCAUCAAACUCAUUCCAGAAAGAGCCUUCAUCCAGACAGAGACACUGAUUAUCCCUGGGGUUUUCAGUGCUUUUCUGAUAUCAUUUUCUUGAUAUCAUCUCGAUAUAAUUUUCUUAUCCUUGGUCCUGGUGUGCCUGGUUCUGUUAGGGACAUGAUUCAUGUGGAGGGAGCCUGCAACAAACCCAGCUGCAAAGGCAGUGGGCUAAGCUUGUGAUAACUGAAAUGUGUCUUGAGACAGAUUUUUCCUUUCCAGGUUUUUACUUUCUUUUUAGUCCCAGAUUUUUCUUUGUUUAGUUAAUGACAUGUAAUCAUUGCAGCAGCCUGUGAAACAAGCACUGAAACAUCUGCAUGUUAUUCACGAGCCAUUGCUGCUGCGUGUAGAAGAGAAAAAUAUCCCUCACUGACUUCUCCCACCUCCCAGUCUGGGCUAGAGACUGGCAGGACAGAAAGCAACCUUAGAAAAACUGAUAAUUGAUAAUGGGAAGUUAGAUUCAAAUUUGGGUUAAUUUGCCAAUCUCAGCUCUUUGGCUGCUGAUGCUUUUAAAAGUUUUGGAGGUCUGAUUUCUGUGUGGGGUUUUGGGUGGUGUUUUCUUUGCCUGCCAAGUUUUCCCAAAUGCCACAGGUUUAUUUCACAUCCCAUCCAAUCUCCUUGGCUCAUCCAGUGUUUUUGUCAGGGAAUAUCUCUGUGGUGCUGUGGGCAUGAAGCAAGCAAAACCAAAAAGAAAAAUGUAUUGUUUGGAAGAUAUUUAAGAAUACCAUUGCCUGGAAGAGGAACGGCAGAAUUAAAAAUUAGUCAGUUUUCUUCUUGCUACAUAGAAUUCUGCAAUAUGACAUCUCCAAGUAUCAUCAUUCUGUGAUGAUAUAGGGACAGUGUCUAAUUAUUUUCAUUCUGUAACUUCCAAAUCUAUGUUUUGUUGUUUAUUAGCCCUGAAAGGCCUCUGACUCUGCAGCAGUAUGGAGGUUUGCAUGUAAAAACAGAAGAGGUGACCCACCACAGAUCCCAAAUCCUCCAGUGGUGCAGUUGCAGACCUCCCUCUGUGCCUGUCCAGUGCUCCAGGGAGGGUGUGGAGGAAGAACUCGCUUACAGGGGUUUUUAAGGAAGAAUAGGCCUUAAAUGUAAAUCUUGUUGUGCUACUAGAAUCAUGAUUUAUUGAAUCACAGAGAGAUUGGAAGAUUAUUAUAGACUAUUAUUUAAUAUAUUAAAUAUAUAUUAUUCUAUAAUAAUCCAGAUUAUUAUAGAAUAAUAAUUGAAAGAUUAUUAUAGAAUUAUAUUAGAUUAUGAUAGAAUUAUUAUAGAAUCACAGAGAGGUUGGAAGAGACUAAGAGCUCCCACCCCUGCCAUGGCAGGGACACCUUCCACUGUCCCAGCUGCUCCAAGCCCCAGUGUCCAGCCUGGCCUUGGACAUUUCCAGGGAUCCAGGGGCAGCCACAGCUGCUCUAGGCACCCUGUGCCAGGGCUGCCCACCCUCCCAGUGUGGGAUAGUGUCUUCUGUAAAACUAAUAAGAAUGUGCAGCUGAGGAUGGUGGACUAAAGGAGGGACCACUAAUGUAGUGGAAAAAAAAAAAAAUCAAUGAUAUUACUGAAAAAGGAAAAGAAAAGCUGUGUAUUAGCACAUGGAAAGAGCCAGCAGUGUGCCUUCCUGGCAGAGAGGCUGCAUGGUGUGUGCUGGGCUGCUGAAGGAGGGUUGCUGGCAUGUGGGGUGGCUCCUUCUGUCUGCUCAGUGCUGGGGGGGCCAUGCUGGGGUUGUGGGGCCACUGUGGCAUCCCCAGGACGCAGCGAUGUGGCACUGCUUAGCCUGAGGGGAGGAGGCUCAGGGGUCCAGCUCAGCUGGGGACAGGGUGCCAGGACCUUUCAGCAGUGCCUGGUGGCAGAGCAGAGGUGCACAGACUGGCACUGGGGGUUCCCUGUGCUCAGGAGACAUUCCCCACUGCGAGGCUGGCUGAGCACUGAGGGCUGGGCACCUUCUGGGCAUCUUCUGGGCUCUUGGGGCUGUGCCAAAGCCGGCUGGACACUGUCCAGGGCAGCUCUGGGUGUCCCUGCUUGAUGUCCAGAGCUCCUGUCCAUCCUCAGCAGCCUGAGGGUUAAUUAUGCAACAGUGCCAAUGUGAGAGGUUCAUGUAACUCCUUCAGGCCUCAGCCUCUUCUGCAACAUCAUUAAACACUUCAGCAGAGAUGCAAGAAGAGAAAAGGAGAGGAGAGAAUGUUACUUUACAGGGAGUAGUGAUUGACAUAAUUAAAUUAGCUAAGAGUCAUGCCCUUUCAUUUAUGUCAGCCACUGCCCAGUGUGAUCUCCAAGCAUUUCAGGCUCCUACAUGUUGAUACAUGGAGAUAACAUCUGUGCCACAACAGUUAGGGAAUUUUGUCUUUUCCUUGUGUGAAGGAUGAACUUGGAAUUUAAAUGAACAGAAUAUAUCCUAAACCAGACAACAAGUGCACGGCAAGCCUCCUAAUAGCAAACAUCAUUUAGUGCCAGGGAGAGGUUUUCUCUGUUGGAGAUCUUAAAAAAAAAAAAAAAAAUUAGCCCUACUCUGUCAAGGACAGCAGAAAUAAAAUUUGAUCCUAUACUGGAGCUAUGGAAUGGAGCAGUGAAAUCUCAAGGUGCCCUUAUUUAAACACUUGUCUAAAGACAAGGUUUAGGAUUCUCUUGGAAAUUUGCAUUGUCAGCUGAAUGCAUUGAAAAGAUAACAUUCCCAUGCAGAAGUGAGCGAGGGUAUGGAGUAUUUUAAAACAGAAUAACCUUAUCUAAAAAACCCAACCAGCCUCAAACAAAAGACUCCCCACAGCCCAAAACAAUGUGAUCACUGUAGUCCAGUAUAUCCAAACUGAUUUGUUCUUUGUUUUUCCUUCUUUCUACCUACACUCCUUGGCAGUAACACUUCUCUGAAAAAGAAUUUUCACUCUGCUGCUUUCCUUGCUGUGCUAAUCACCUGUAUCUGAAAAUACAUCUUCAAAAUUGUUUUACUCUGACAGGUCAGCAGAUAAAAACUGGAUACCAGGGGGUAAAUGCACUCACUAAUAGACUUGCUUUCUGUAACCUAAGCAAUAUUCCAGAAAAAAACCUUGGGUCAUCAUUGGUGUUAGGUUUGAAAAUAUUACUGGAGAAUGAAGUCCUGUACUUAGUUGCUGGAGACGAGAUUUUUUUUUUGUUUUUCUUAGUUUCUGGUUUUUCUUGUCUCUCAGCUAAUUUAUGUGAUAAUUACCACCACAGCUGACUGACCAAAAUCUUUAAUGAUAAAACUAUAGGAGCCCAGGCACCAUGGUGGGAGCAAGCUAUUAGUGCCUCUACGUGUGAGACACACAGAGUGCUUUCCCCUCUCAGAUUUCCCUUUAGCACAGAGUUACUCAGUGGAAAUUCAAGUGUCUCCAAACGUUGCCUGCUCCUCGAUUCCAGGUGAGGCUGGGGUUUUGUGCCAGGGUGUAGCACGAUAAAAUAAAACAAUUUCCAUACUGCUGAUCCCACCAGUUUGUUGGGAGGGCAGAGCUUUGCAGACAGAGGCUGCUCUGCUGCAGGAACCUCUCUGAGCUGGCUGGGCAGUGCGAGCUCUGUAACGUGCUGAUUAUGCUGAUGUGCACAAAAGGCAGGGUUGGAUACAUUUCCAUCUUUUUCACACUUGCUGACUUAUGGUCUAUCACUUCUGUGCUAUAUAUUGUCUGCAAAAAGUGAUUUCUCAGGUUGAACUUAAGAAUUGCUGAAUUAUUGAUGCAUUUUAAGCAUGCAUUAAUGGCUUGGAUGUGAAUUUCUAUAUUUAACAUAACCACUGAUAAUCUGGGCCUACUUAGGAAAGAGUGUGGUCAAUUAUUUUUCCCAUUAUCUAAUGUUUGUUUCAGGAAAAGCAUGAUUUAUAGUCAUCUGAUUUAUUGAAAUAUGGGGAUUUUUUGGCAAUUUUAGUAUUGUAGAACAGAAUGUGUUUAUUAAUUCCAUGAACUAAGGAUGACUUUAAAUGUUGUCCUUUCUAAUAGCUGAAUGCCUGCACACCAAUAAAAAAAAAAAAAACAUCCCUCAAACAGAUCUUUGAAAUUAUUGAGCCAUUGGUUGUUUCAGGGCAGUAAUAUCACAGCUUCAACAAAAAACAUUCUUCACUCUGGAGCCUGGACCUAAAGCAUCCAGAAUCUCCCAGUAUGUUCUACUAGGUAAUACUGUUGGUAAUAAAAUCCUGGAGCAGGCAUGAAUGUAAAAAUAAUACUGUUUUAGCUGUUGGCUGGAUCAGGCAGCUUCUCUGACUGGAAAUUAAUUGGGUUUUGUAGAGUUAGUUUUGUUUGCAUCACCUGGCCCUACUGUGAUGAAUUGGGCAACUGUGGGACCACUGGGACCAGCAUUUAGGAGGAGAGGAGAGCACUGGAAAGGGCAGCCCUGCUCCCUGGGUAAUUCUGUCUAUCCAAAGCACUGCCUUGGGGUCUCACACAGCAUUAGGGGAGUCAGGAAAGAGCUGCUGCAUCCUCCUUCCCACACUGAGGCUUUUCCUGCUUAAAAAAAAUAUAAAAAUACCUUGAAAUCUUGAUUUUACACAACUGGUCAGGGACUAGAAAAUUGAUUGGCAAUGCUGAUAUCAACUUAAGUUUGCUUUUAAAAUCAACAAUCUAUUUCCAACAGCCAGAGCACGAUACCCAAGGUUUCAAAAGCAGAGUGCCAGAAGGAUUCUCAUGCUCAGGCCAACAAGAGGGAAAGCUUUCUUUGAGCCUCUUCACGAGACAAGUGCUUUCUCUGGCAUCAGUGUUUGUCCUGCUGCCAGAACCCUUCCUGUGACAACAAGGCAUGAAAUUUCCCUCAAGCCUGGCAUCUAGCUGGAUUUGCUCACUGUGGUAGGGACAGCCAGUUAAAUAAUACAAAGUGAUUUUCAACAAGUUUAAUGCAUCUUAUCUAGCUGAUAUCCUCUAGGACUGCUCUGAUACCCUUUACUGCUUUUUAGUGAUUUUUUUUUUUUUCCCUGUGUAAAAAAAUAGCACUUUUCUCUAAAUGAAACACUGUUCUGUCACUGAGGAUGGGAUGUGGACUUGUGGAAUCAGAUUCUAGGGACAGAUGAUCUGUUUUAACAUUCCCUGGAGAAUGUUACUACUGCUCAGAAUGUAGGCUGCAGGUAAUAAAAGUUGGUGUGUGUUAUUUUGGACAGAAGAAGAGGGGAAAUCCCUUUGAUUUCUUUUAUUCUUGGAGCAGUGAUUAUAGGAGUGCCAAGUCUGUCCUGCAGGGGUGCUCCAUAUGAAGUGCUGGCACUUCCUAGCUAAUUUCUGUUUAAAAAAAAACCCUUAAAAAUCAAAAUUUUCAAAACCAGAUCCACCACACAAAUAAGCCCAUCUACUGCAACUACCAACCUCCCUGGCCUUGAUAAUAAAUCCCCUGCUACAUUUUUAAACCAGAAAAUGAAUUUUACAGUUGAAGCACGUUUAUUAAGCUUACAAAUGUGAUCCCCACCUCCCAUUGCCUGCUUUCUAUACAAAUGAAGGGUCAUUUGAAGGAAGAGAUGUCAUUUGGUACCUUAGGAAAACAUGGUGGUAAGGAGCUGUUUCUGGUACAUUCUUUAUGUUCUCGCUGGGGUUGGCAGCUUUCAAUACUCCUUGUGAGAAAGGCAUCAAAGCCUGAAGGAUGAAACAAUAAGAGAGGGAUAUUGCUCGAUAUUGUUAGAGCUGACUUUUUUCUUGAGGCUGUUUUCACACUUCCUCGGGCAGUAAGAGUUUUAAAAAAAAGUAGUCUCUAACAUGAAGCCCACUUCUGGAGUCUGAUAAGAUAAAGCUAGACAGGCCAAGAAAUCUUUAUUUCUCUGCAAAGUUAUUGGUUCAUGUCUCAUGUCCACAGAUUAAAGAAAAAAAUUGAUCUUGCUUUCAGACAAAGAAUUUUCACAAUGCUGAAUUUUCACAAUGCUGAUUGUCGAGCAUGGGUUAAUUUGCUGAGUUCUUUUUCCUCCUCAAUGAGUGGAGUGUUUUUGUUAUGGGGCUUUGUUCAGGUUUAUAUGAAAAUGUGUCUUCAUUCUGCUUUGAAGUUUUUUUACACAUUCUUAUGAAAACACAUACUGCAAGUAUUUCUUAGCUAUGAAGGGACUAAUCUAAUCUUACACUUCAGUUUGUAAGAUAAUGUAUUUCCUCUUUCAUCAUUGGAUUUAGACUUACUCUUUAAAAAUAAAAAGGGAAAAAGGAGAUAGGAGACAAGACUUUGCUAAGCUGAAAGAACAUGAAAUAUUUUUUUUCCUCCUUGUCUUCCUAAACAUACCCAAGUAAUCCACUGACAGGAGAGAUGCCAGGAAAAGGUGCAGAAAUACCUGUGUAAUGACCUUUGCUAUUAAAAUUAACGUGUGCCUCCUGCACCUGUUCAGAAAUGGUUUAACAUUCUUCUGACUGACUUCAGAAACACUGGGUAAUUAAACAGUACUUUCAGUGAAGGUCAACUCUGAAUUAGUAGUUCAUUAAAUUAUUUGUCAUGCUGAAUGUUACUCCUGGUCACCAGCAGAAGUGAAUUCAAACAAAGAGCAGAGGAAUGUCAUUUCUGUGCUCUCAUUGCAGGGAAAAUUGCUGUCUGAGCUGUUAGGUCACCCAGCAGGGAGGAGCCCUCAUGCCCAGCACAGAAAAUCCUUGUUUGCACAGGGAUUGGUAGAGGUGGCAUACUCAGAAACAUCUCAGGAGUCUGCUACCUGCUCUUGUUUCAGAAUAUGCAUGUAAGAGCUCAGUUGUCCUCUUUGUGCCCUGAAAAAUUAGUUUAUAUUGGCAAGGAUUUCUCUUGUAGUGUCCCACCUUUUACACCAGCUACAAGGAGGACCCAUGCCUUUUUAUUGUAAUUUUAUGUGGUGGUAAAAGUUUGAGAUGGAAUAGAUUAUGACUUAGACAUCCCAACACCUGCUGAAACAAACCCGAUUAUGAAAAGGAUAAUUAAACCUGACUAUAAAUACUGCAGUGUGAACCACUUGGCAUCCGAUUUUCUCACACAUGAGAGGCAGCAGUGUAUUUCUGUGAAGUUCUGAUCUGGCUGCUCUCUCUUGCAUUUCCAGCACUGGUCUUCAGCAGUUUUUCCCCAUAAGGAUGGAGACUAGAGCCUCAUGUUCCUCCUUGGGCCUGUAGCAUCCAUAGCUAGGUGCAGACACAAUGUUUGUUCUGUUUUCUACCCAGACUGCAUGUUUUUAGUUCCUUCAGUGUUUGAGUAGGGCUUCCAUUUACAAUCAGUGGGAAUUUAGGAUUAUAACCUGGACUGAUGCACCCUCAGGUUGAUCAGGAACCCUGUCAGGUGCCAGGACAUCCCCUGGUGGCUCUGAGUCCGUGGCAGCAGACCCAGAGCAGGUCCCAGCAGUCUGUCUGUCCCUGUGUCCCUCUGUCCGUGGUGCUGGCUCUGGAGCUGCCCUUGCAGGGACGCAGGCAGGGGGACCAAGGCGUCCCUGCUCCCAUCAGGUGUGCCUGGAUUAAAACUGAGCCACAAACAGCUGGGAGACCUCUGCAAUAUUUAUCAGACUGUACCUAUAAUGAAACUCUGCUCUUGGUAAUUGCUAGGAGAUUAAACCUUUCCAAAGACACAGUGAGUGAAUACUAAUGCCCUGCUCUCCAGAGGAGGGGACGUCAGGAGAGCUGGGGAGGGAAGGAGGAGGAAAACCUUUCGGUGUUCAGGGGCUGUGAUACCAGGGAAAACCUCAUUAUUUGUUCAAGGCACCAGAACAGGAUUUUUAUAGGCCAGAUCAAUCUACAGAUGCUCUGUGAAGGAGAAUUAUUCCAGGGCAGUGCGUGUGAAACUCUUCAGGUCUGAACCUUGGUCUGCUCUUCAGGGAUCUGGGUUGGCAUUAUUUGUUGAACACUUUUUGCUGUGGUAUUUACAGAGGGAAGGAAGAAAACUCUGCACUAAUGAGAUGUGUGAGCUGUUGCAUUCUUGCCAUCAUUCCUAAGGCUGAUCCUGACCACUUUGGUUGUCCAUGGAAGUCAGUAGAGGUUCCCCCUGCAUCUUUCAGGAAGAAGGACAGGAAUUUUGCAUUAUCCUGGCUCUGCCCCUCUGGUUGGAGGGGUUUCUGCCACCACUGCUUGUCCCCCUGUUGUUUCCUGCUGCUCAGUGUCAGUCACAGGCUCAGGAGGGGACUGUGGGGCACAGGAGCUUCAGCAGGUGUGACACCUCCCUGAGCUGCCCGUGGGGCUGGACUCAGCCUUCAAGUGCCCUGACUAGAAAAUCCAUUACACAGGACAGAACAAGCAAAGUGUGCAUUCUAUAGGGAAUUCCAUCUCUUUCCAAAAAGACAAUUUGGGAGAGGAGUGUUGUGUUAACAACCCGUGGUGAGUGAGGUCAGUGGGGACAGGAGGGAAAGGUUUUCCACCAGAGCCCAGGGAGGGCCCUGAGGCUGUGGGAACACUUGGGUCAGGGAACUCUGCCACAGCCAACAGGAUUCUUUGGAAAGAUUGCUAAUACCAGACUUCCAGGGCCAGAUUAGGACUUUCCAGUCCAAACUGCAGUGGGAUGGGGGCUCCCAGUGCACUCAGACUGUCCUGGCCAUGCUGCCCACAGCGGGUGGGGAAUGUCCAGUGGCACGCGGGGGCAGCUGAGGUGUUCUGAGAACAUCACCCACGGGGAAGCUGCUGUGGUGACAACCCAAUAACUGCAAAUUGUUCCUCUGAACACGAAGAAUAUAAGGUAGAGAUCAAAUGUUGACCCUUUUUCAAUGCCCAAUGCUAAUGUGUAGAUGGUAGCAUAGCCCAAAACCCAGGUGUCCCUAAAUAUUUUUUAUAUUUGUUAUUUAUAUGUUUUGCAAAAAACCCACACAGAAUAGACAACAGAAUAAGUAAAGAAUGCCACAUAGUUGAAUGGGAAGGCAAAUAGAUGGAUGAUACAAAUUAGCCAACGUCUUUCUGUCUGGUUUCUUGAAUAAUAGUUACAUUUUAUUCAUGUAUAUUGAGCCAAAGAUAUAGCCACACACUAAAUCAAUUGCUUUUGAAAAUAGUAUUAAAACAAAGAAAAAAAGGGUGUUUUAGAUGGUCAAGAAAAUGGAAACUUCAAAAAAUCUUUGCAAGGCUCACUGAAGAGAUAUUAAUUUUUCUGUGGACUUUGUAAAUUUAUGUUCAUUAGAAACUCCCAAACUCUAAAUGACUUUUAAAUUAUAUAUCCUGUGAGGGUAAAAAAAAAAAAUAUCCAAGUUUUCAUUUAUAUAUAUUAAAAUUACAGCUGAGAUUCAUGAUUUUAUUGUAGUGCCUCAAUCCCAUUAACAUUGAGAGAAGUUAGAUAUUUAGAUACCUUUGUGGAGAAAUCUUACAAAAUGAGGUUUUUAAUGGACAAUUUAAUGAAAGUGCUGCUGUGUGUGCAACAGCUGACCAAAAAAAAAAAGCUGGCAAACCCCUGGAAAAAUGGAGAAAAGAGGGAUAAGAAAUAAUUUUGAAGAUUUAAUAUGUUAUGAAAUCAAUUUAAAUAGGGGAAGUACUGAGUGAGGAGGACACGGGUGUUUGUGCAGCCUCUGUCUCUGUCUCUGAGGUUAAUUCCAGCAGGCUGUGCUGUCCUGGCUGUCAGCCCUGCUGGGACUGGCCUUGCCCUGAGCUGGGAUUUCACACCUGCCACUCGCAUCCCACUGCUGCUGCUCGGUGCCUGCAAGGGAAAGGAGAGCAGGCAGCAAUCUGGGGGUGUCAGGUAACAUCUGUUACCUAAAAAAUCACCCUGCCGAGGCCCUGAGUGCCGUGCUGUAAAAGUAUACUUGAAAUAUCUCACAAUAUUUUAUAAAACGGUCCUAUUAUAUGUGUUAUAAAAAAGGCAGCCAAAGGUUUUCCUGAAGUACGCUUAAUGAAAAUGAGGAAUAUACUGACUCUGCCAGGCAGCUGGAAGAAAUGUUGAUAUAGAGAAUUUAAUCCUCCACUUCUGGGUUUUCUGUUGUUGUCUGCAAGCCACCCCUGGCAGGGAAGCACGCUGUGAUUUCCUGAGCAGCACUGAUGUUCCUCAUGUCUUGGACACAGUUUUUACUAAAGGCUCCUGGGAAUGCUCUGGUAGCAGCUCUGUGCUGUGGAGGGAGAAUGAGAAGAAUGAGAAAACUUUGCUGCCAAUAACAGUUGUUGUCUGCAAGGCCAGAAUGAGUCAACAUAGGAAAGUACACUUGCUUGUGUGAUGUUCUUUAUUAUUCUGACUGUAUUUCUAAAUUCCCUGAAAAAGGUUCCUUGAAGAAACUUAGGGAUUGCCUGGGAAGAAGAAAAGUUUUGCUAUGAAUUUUUCAGGAAAUCCUCUCAUGAUUAAUCUCUGUUUAUACUUGAAAUUUCUGUUCCCAGACAGAUUUUCCCCAUGUUAAAGAAAUUACUCUGUAGGAAAGAACAGAAUGUCUGAAGAAGACAGUCAACACACACCUAAAAUGGUAAUUUCAUUAUGAUGUUUUUGUGCUGUGCUUCCAUCCAUGUUUCCAAGGGCUGAUUUGAUUAUGUAGCAGUUCCUUUUUAGAAUAAACCAGCAUGUUUAGGAAGGCAUUGACUCAUGGCAGAGCUAAAACUGACAACAGUUAAAUGUAACUCCUUCCAUUAACAAUAAUGGAAUUCAUGUUGUAUCAUUAUCAUGGUUGGAAAGCCUGUCAAGAAAGGAAAAAAAAAAAGCACAGCACAGCACUGAUUUAUAUGGUUUUUAUGUCGAGAGCAUGUGUCGGUGAUCCCAGCUGGACUAUAAAGGGCACAGGCAUUCCACUGCUAAGAUUUAGGUGCCAUUUGAAAGUAAAAAAUCAGGUUUUGAGGCAAGGGUUGAAGUUAAAUCUUGACAACACACAGAAAAUAAAAAGUGUGUAAUGAGAAGAAAGAAAAGAUACUAGGGAGAGGUCAGAAAAAAAAUUCUUUAACACCAGAAAUCUUUUAAAGAGUAAAAAGGGGCACAAUAAAAUAUGUUUAAGUCCAAGGGGGUAGUUGAUGUCAGGCAGUGGGAGAAUUUCUGGUGAAUUUUUAAGUUGCACACUGAAAAUUCCCCCACUGAGCUGGUGAGAGCACGGUGCUGAUAUCACCAAGGUCAUGGAUGUGAGCUGUGUAGGGGUGAUGCACUGAAGAGUUGCACUCAGAAAUCCCUGUGGGUCCCUUCCAGCUUGGAAUAUCCUGUGAAAUCCCUCUCAGAAGUGGCCCAGCUCUCUGGGCAGAAACGCAGUGGCUGAGCUGAGCCUGUGGUGGCUGAUGCAAAGAAAACUGAGUGAAGAACUUGGGAGCAAAGGAGGAUCGUAUGGCUUGGGCUGCGAGCCCAAGUGUGGGCUUGGACUGAGAACAGAAAAAUAGUUUAUUUACAACAAAUGGGGUCAUUCCCAAUGGAAAGAUGAAAAGAGACUUAUUUUCUCAAGCUCAGUCUGAGAUGAGUCCAGGGGUACAGGAUACUAUGGUUCCAAUCUUGACUUUGAAUUGGACCCAAGAACAGUAAUAAAACCAAAAUUGUUCAAAUCAUUUAA